GGGGUCGUGGCUCAGCAGGAGAGCACUCUUCUUGUGCAUGUGAAGCCCUGGGUUCGAUCCUCAGCACCACA
RNAcentral lists this transfer RNA (71 nucleotides) under Marmota monax (woodchuck). RNAcentral's name for it is "tRNA.Thr". Lineage: Eukaryota; Metazoa; Chordata; Mammalia; Rodentia; Sciuridae. The record is from RNAcentral.